Molecule: unclassified non-coding RNA, 894 nt
Filed under: Leishmania donovani
Lineage: Eukaryota; Euglenozoa; Kinetoplastea; Trypanosomatida; Trypanosomatidae
Description: gene:unknown
Source: RNAcentral
CGGUGUACCUUCUCUGUCUGUAUUUCUGGGAGCUGUUCUCUCCCCCCUCCAUACGUGUCUACUUGCCCACUUUGGUGUUGAAUUCGUUCUUUAACCAUGUGCCCCGCAACGGAGGAGUUGCAUGAGCCUCUACGUCUUGUGUACCUCUUCAUGGCCAGGCGUCUCGGUCGGCUGCCAUUCUCCCCUUUUCCGAAUCGAUGUAAACGUUUGUCUGUGUGGCUGCGUAGCUGCGCCGCGAACCCUUUUGGGCUCUUCCGUGCGGCGGCGCACCUCGCCACCGCCGACUCCGGCCAAAAAUGUGUGUGCCAUCCUGUGAUGAGGCGUUUCUGCGUCCUCGCCCCUCCUCUCUCAUUUUCUGUUUGGCUGUGCUUUCCUUUUUGUACAAGUAUUACUGAUGCUGCUCUUCCCGCCUCAAUCGGAGAGGGUGCAAAACUGGGUGAGAAUGAGUGUGGGAAGCAGCAGUGUGUGUUUUUGGGGUGACUAGACGUGCGUGACCGUGGUGGCGGGGAGGGCACAUCCCAGAAGGUAUGUGUGGGGGUGGGAGAUGAGGGCUGCGCUGCAGCGCAGCCCCGACAUUCGCGGCGCGUGCGCAGCAGGAUUGCUUCCUCAUGGGAACUGGGUGAAGUGAUACACGCGCAUUGCUGUAGCGUUGAAGACUUCCACUCUCACGCUUAUGGACGCUCCCCCCUCCCUGUGGCGCUGUCGAGGUGCCUCCGCCUCCCUCCAAAGAAGCGAUGGGCCCGUCACUGACGCUUAAAUGCGGGUGGCGUUGUGUCCCAGCCUUGCCUCUUCGUUUGGUCGCGCGCGCCCCCAAUCCUCCCUCCCUUCCGCUGUAGCAGUGGUGAAUGCGCUGUGGCAGCCUCUCUUCUCUCGUUGUUGCUUCCACCUUUGUCU